AAGAGCCCUCAGCAGCAUCGGCCAUUUGGCAGUGGUGGCAAAUGGAGUGAGCAGAGACUAAAUAUCUGCAUUCCACUGGUGGCCAUGAUAGUAAUAGAAAAUGCGUAAGGCGAAAGUGUUCUCACAGGACCAUACAGGGAAGUGAAUCAUCCUGGAUCACACAUGUCUGAGAUCCUGAGCUUCACACCUUGGGUCAGAUGUGUGUUGUCAGCUGAGAAACUGAGCUGCAUUCUUGAGCAUGAGCCAGACGCCUUGACAGAUGGUUAUUCUUUUCUGCUUGACCUCGAGUUACAGAGAUGCAGAUGAAGUCAAAGAGGAUACCAGAUGCAGCCAGUCUGCUGGGGAGGCACGUACGUCUGAGUGGGCCCAGCACAGCUGUUCUCCAGGGCAAGGCUUGGCCAUGGCAGCUGCCCCAGCGCCCGCAUUCAGCCCAACCCACCAGGUCACCCCAGUCCAGUCCGUGGUGCUCAGAUCCCCAAGCAAUCACAGGUCAGAGGCGGAAAGAACUACGUGAAUGUGUACAGUGAUAUUGGGCACAUGCUCUGAAGGAAGGGAAACCGAAGAACGUCAAGGGGCAGCGUUCAGAGGAGGGGAAAGAAUGCAGAGUCUGGGUGUGAUCCCUACCUGGACUCUCUUAGAAGCUCCACUAUCCUCUUCUCUAAUGAUCUGUCUUCCCAUUCCAGAAUUUCUUACCUUAACCUACUUAGCCUGAGUUAAAUAAGCAUCUGCAUGCAGAAAUAAAUAAGUGAGGGAAUUUGUACUUUUCUGCAAUUAGCGUGCAUUAUUUUUCUCAUCAAAACAAUAAAUGACGGAUAUAGGCCCACCUAUACGAAGUUAUGCCUUCUACUGGAGUCCAUAGAGAACUUCAGUCAGAUCUGCUUUCUCCCACCAGUAUUUGCUAUGUAUUUGCACUACUCACCUCCAUCCUGCUGACUUUAUCAUUUUCUCACGCUGAAUCACGAUUUGUAAAUUGAGGAAGGAAGCACGGAUAAGUAGGGAUGGUGCCACACUACCUCUCAGGCUGGGCGCUAGAGGGCAGAAGCUUCUAGGAAAUCUUCACAGGCAGACCUUCACUUCUAAAAAUGCCCAAGGAUCUACAACACUGGUGAACCUGGAGAACAUUAUCUUAAGUGAAAUAAGCCAGACCCAGAAAGACAAAUACUGCAUAUCUCACUCGUGUGGAAUCUAAAUAAACGUCGAGCUCACCAUAACACGGAGUAGUAGUAUGGUGGUUACCAUGGACUGGGGGAUGUUGGUUACAGGGUACAAAACUUCAGUUAUAAGGUGAAUAAGGUCUGGAAACCUACUUUACAGCACGGUGACUAUAGUUAAUAAUAAUGUGUUGUGGAGUACUGUGGCAUGCCUCUGUAAUCCCCACUACUCAGGAGGCUGAGGUAGAGGAUUGCUUGAGCCCAGGAGUUUGAAACCAGCCUGGCCAAUGUAGUGACAUCCUAUCUCUUUAAAAAAGGGGAAAAAAAUGUAUACGUGAAAUUUGCUAAGAAAAUAGAUCUUAAGCAUUCACACCACACACAAACAAACAUGACAGAUAUGUGACUAGUUUGAUUGUGAUAAUCACUUCACAAUGUACACAUAUAUCAAAACAUCACAUUGUACACCUUAAAUGUGUACAAUUUUUUUGUUUUUUGAGACAAAGUCUCACUCUGUUGCCAGGCUGGAGUGCAGUGGCACAAUCUCAGCUCACUGCUAUCUUGACCUCCUGGGUUCAAGCGAUUCUCCUGACUCAGCCUCCCAAGUAACAGGGACUACAGGCACACACCACCACGCCCAACU
Molecule: long non-coding RNA, 1791 nt
Filed under: Homo sapiens (human)
Lineage: Eukaryota; Metazoa; Chordata; Mammalia; Primates; Hominidae
Description: HSALNT0023813
Source: RNAcentral